AUGUCCAUCGUCUCGUACGCCAGCGGAGCGGGCGCUUCGCUGCCGCAGCCGGUGCUGCUGCUCACUGGAGAGAACUACACAGCCUGGGCGAUCAAGGUGGAGGCGAACCUUGAUGCGGCCGGGCUGUGGGAGGCGGUGGUGGUACCGGAGGACGCGGCGGCGGCUGUGAUCGCGAAGAAGGACAAGCCGGCGUGGGCAUACCUGCUGGGCGUGUUAGCUAAGGACCUGCUGCUGUAG
Molecule: ribosomal RNA, 237 nt
Filed under: Triticum aestivum (bread wheat)
Lineage: Eukaryota; Viridiplantae; Streptophyta; Magnoliopsida; Poales; Poaceae
Description: partial small subunit ribosomal RNA
Source: RNAcentral